Molecule: unclassified non-coding RNA, 348 nt
Filed under: uncultured Xylodon
Lineage: Eukaryota; Fungi; Basidiomycota; Agaricomycetes; Hymenochaetales; Schizoporaceae
Description: sequence contains ITS1
Rfam family: 5.8S ribosomal RNA (bases 1-105)
Source: RNAcentral
GAAAUGCGAUAAGUAAUGUGAAUUGCAGAAUUCAGUGAAUCAUCGAAUCUUUGAACGCACCUUGCGCUCCUUGGUAUUCCGAGGAGCAUGCCUGUUUGAGUGUCGCUAAAUCAUCAACUCCCCCUUUGCUAUUGUGGUGAAGGCGGCGAGCUUGGAUUUGGGGAUCUGCUGGCUUCACCGUCGGCUUCCCUUGAAUGCAUUAGCUGGAUCUAUGAUUUGCAGCAUAUAUGCGGUGUGAUAAUGUCUUCACUGCAUUGCUCAGAUUUGUCUGGCUUCUAAUAGUCCUUUCAUUGGGACAACUUUGAUCAUUCAGACCUCAAAUCAGGUAGGACUACCCGCUGAACUUAA